Molecule: ribosomal RNA, 805 nt
Filed under: uncultured Lutimonas sp.
Lineage: Bacteria; Pseudomonadati; Bacteroidota; Flavobacteriia; Flavobacteriales; Flavobacteriaceae
Description: bacterial SSU rRNA
Rfam family: Bacterial small subunit ribosomal RNA
Source: RNAcentral
GAGGGGUAACAGGAUUUAGUUUACUAGAUUGCUGACGACCGGCGCACGGGUGAGUAACGCGUAUACAAUUUGCCUUUUACUGAAGAAUAGCCCAGAGAAAUUUGGAUUAAUGCUUCAUAGUAUUAUUUGGUCACCUGGCCGAGUAAUUAAAGCUCCGGCGGUAAAAGAUGAGUAUGCGUCCUAUUAGCUAGAUGGUAAGGUAACGGCUUACCAUGGCGACGAUAGGUAGGGGUCCUGAGAGGGAGAUCCCCCACACUGGUACUGAGACACGGACCAGACUCCUACGGGAGGCAGCAGUGAGGAAUAUUGGGCAAUGGAGGCAACUCUGACCCAGCCAUGCCGCGUGCAGGAAGACGGCCCUAUGGGUUGUAAACUGCUUUUAUACAGGAAGAAACUUAUCCACGUGUGGAUAACUGACGGUACUGUAAGAAUAAGGACCGGCUAACUCCGUGCCAGCAGCCGCGGUAAUACGGAGGGUCCAAGCGUUAUCCGGAAUCAUUGGGUUUAAAGGGUCCGUAGGCGGGCAAUUAAGUCAGAGGUGAAAUCCCACAGCUCAACUGUGGAACUGCCUUUGAUACUGGUUGUCUUGAGUUACAGUGAAGUAGAUAGAAUAUGUAGUGUAGCGGUGAAAUGCAUAGAUAUUACAUAGAAUACCGAUUGCGAAGGCAGUCUACUAACUGUAUACUGACGCUAAUGGACGAAAGCGUGGGGAGCGAACAGGAUUAGAUACCCUGGUAGUCCACGCCGUAAACGAUGGUCACUAGUUGUUGGGGUCUUGUACCUCAGUGAUUAAGAGAAAUUGAUA